Molecule: ribosomal RNA, 497 nt
Filed under: uncultured bacterium
Lineage: Bacteria
Description: partial 16S ribosomal RNA
Rfam family: Bacterial small subunit ribosomal RNA
Source: RNAcentral
GAUGAACGCUGGCGGCGUGCCUAAUACAUGCAAGUCGAGCGAACAGACGAGGAGCUUGCUCCUUUGACGUUAGCGGCGGACGGGUGAGUAACACGUAGGUAACCUCCCUAUAAGACUGGGAUAACUUCGGGAAACCGGAGAUAAUACCGGAUAAUAUUUCGAACCGCAUGGUUCGAUAGUGAAAGAUGGCUUUGCUCUCACUUAUAGAUGGACCUGCGUUUUAUUAGCUAGUUGGGAAGGUAACGGCUUACCAAGGCAACCAUACGUAGCCGACCUGGGAGGGGGAUCGGCCACACUGGAACUGAGACACGGUCCAGACUCCUACGGGAGGCAGCAGUAGGGAAUCUUCCGCAAUGGGCGAAAUCCUGACGGAGCAACGCCGCGUGAGUGAGGAAGGUCUUCGGAUCUUAAAACUUGUUUAUUAGGGAAGAACAGACGGGUAAGUAACUGUGCACGUCUUGACGGUACCUAAUCAGAAAGCCACGGCUAACUACGUG